GCCCGAGGGAACCUCUUGGCCCCUGGCUGCUCAGCUGAGGACUACGGCCGCGGGGCUGGCUCUUAGCGAGGUCCGGGCCUCUCCUGUACCAGGCCUGUGCCGGCUCCGGCUUGUCCCCAGAGCCCUCAGCCUGGAGCCUGGUGGGCGCAGCAGGACCCCCUGUGGAGCUUCAGGGCUCAGUCUGGGGAGCGGCAGUGCGUCAGAGAGGCCUUUGGGUGGGGAAGGAUGAGAGGUGCCCCACAUAGCCGCCAGAGCCCCUCGCACCUGUGGGGCCGGCUGCCCCGAAAAUAAAACCCAUGAGAAUAUGGAGAAGGUGGAACCCAGCUGGUGGGAGCUAACGGGCACAGCGGCUGCUCUGGAGAUAGCUGUGGCAAACAGCGUGGAGAGUCCUCAAAAGAACGUGGGCAAGGCCAUCACCAAGGGCUGCCACUACGUCAUCCUCGGCCUGCAGGGCUUCGCUGCUGCCUACUCUGCCCCAUUCGCAGUCGCCACCAGCGUGGUAUCCCUCGUGCGCUAGAGUACCCCACGUCUUUCGGACUGGACGCUUGGAUGAGAAAGCUGCCCUCCUUGUCAGACUGGACGGAGUCAGGUCUGAGCCACCUGCUGCUUGCAGCUCCCACGGCUCCUGGACACAGGCCCCAGGGUCAUCCUGCAGGGCCCAGGCCCAGGUCCUCUUGAGCCAGAAGCAGUUUUUCUACCCCGGACACUUGGAGCCCUCGUGGGAAGGGCAGUGUGGGUGAUAAACGGGCAUGGCGGGGGAGUUGAGCUUGCUGAAUCUCCAGUUAUCCGGCUCCUCUGGUGCAGGUGUCGGGUUCCUGGGGCACCCAGGCCUGGCUACCUGACUUCUACUGAUGGGUUCUUUUCCUAGUAUGAACUACUGAAUUAUUAUGGUGGUCGCCUAACAGGGCUGAAGCCCUCAAAACAGAAGCCGGUCUUCCCAGAGGCCACCUCCUCCUUCACCCCCAUCCCAGUCCUGGAUACAGUUUCCUUUUGCUUUUCCCCCUCCACAAGGGAGCCCCCAGUCAGCCCCCUAGGUGUCACUAAACCUGCGCACCAAACUCUGCCCCUGGCAAAGGCCCCUGAAGUCUCAGCUUCCUGUGUCUCAGGUCAGAGGCUCCCCAGCUCCCUCAGAUUCUCUCCGUGUGUUCAGAGCCAAUAAAGGCCUCUUUUAUCUUUCCUAUGUCUUCACCGACACCUAAAAACCUAACAUUUUGGUGCUGUGACUCAGGCAGCGUGUGUGGCUCCUGGGUCACAAACCCCAGUCCUGAGCCCCCUGCCUGCGGACCGAGCUUCUCUCCUCUGGAACCUGCCUACUUGCUGUUGGCAGCCCGCGUCCAGCUCUGACCCACCGCAUACAGCCGGGCGAGCCGAGCCCUCCCAGGGCUCCAGCCUUUCUCAGCAGCUGCCCUCCUGCUCCGUGGGCAGGGCCACUGUGCUCACGCCCAGAGGCAGGGUGGCCUCCCCAGGUGAGGACUGAGACAGCAGCUUGAGGUCCUCCUCUCUUGGCUCACCUCAAAUUCGGCUCACCUCAGAUAUUCAUUCCCAAGCCCCCAAAGCCACCCACUGGGAUGCCACCUUCUCGUCUCAACUCCCUGGGCCUCUGCAAGGCCAUAAAAGCCAAAAGGUUAACCUUUUACUCCAAAUGGCUCGGCCACCAUAGAAACUGGACAGUGGCAGCCAGUGGCCCAAAGAGAAAAUUUUAACCCCUUAAAUCUCCUGUUAUCACAACAGCAAAUGGUCAGAAAUUCCUUCAAAGCCUUCCUUGACUCUGAAAACACGGCCCUCCCCCAUGCCCACACUGGGCUCAGCCUCCUCCCUGCCAGAUUAGAUUUUCCCACAGCUGCUGCUGCCUGCAGCUGCCCAGCCCCAGCCCCUCCCUCCGCGCUGCCACUUCACUUUCUGAGGCUCUCCGCCCCUCCCCGCUCCUUGCUCCCCCUCCUCUGCCCUUCUCUCUUCUGCCCAUGCUGGUCUGUCCUGUGUCCUGCUCUGCCAACCUUUUGUCUGCCCCAACCCAGAGCACUAACUCAUCUGCCUCCAAGCAUGCUCCCCUGACCAGCAGUGCCCCACCCCUGUGCUAGCGGGUGCUUGAGCUGGCACGGGGGCCAAUAGCCCACGGAGUGGAGCACGUGGCCCUUAUCUAUCCUGCCUUUUCUGGUGAUUCUGAGUCCAUGGCUUCCCCUCCCCCAGUCUGCACCCAACGGAGGAAAAAAGGUCUCCAGUUAUCCCCUGUAAGCUGCAAAGCUAGAAAAGCCUGCAGGAAUAAGUUUGUCUCAGUUGAUAGAAGUUACUCAGACAGUGUUUCCUAGUAGAAAGGAUGCAGAAUGGAGACACAGACAGGAAAGGAGAAAUGGGAUGCUGGCAGCCAUAGGAAGGAGAGCCAGUCAGGAACCAGGGCAAGUCAGGCUUCCCUGGCCCCAGGCCAGCAUGUGCAUCGCAGAGAGAAGGGGCAUUUCAAGCGAAAAUGUCCAAGGCUGCUAGAGAGGGAAAGAAGAAAGUGUUAGCGAUGGAAUCAGAGGAAGUCUCAGAUUUUUGAGGUCGUGGGUCUCUGCCUUUCAGCCCCAGGAUGUCAACUGCCAGUGUAAGGGGAGAGAAAGCCUGCUAGACUUUUGAUGAACGCCAGUGCAGCUUUGUCAGUAGUCAUCCAGCCAACUUGCAAAGCGGAAAGUGCUCAGUGUUUUCCAAAGGCUUGGGCAAAAGUCGGUCUCCCAGGUCUGUCAAUUCAUGGGCCCCAGUAAAAGUAGAGUUAGUGGGACAUGGGAAACCAUUUUGUUUGAGAAUAAGAUUUUCUCAUAAAAGUUGCUCUUGGCAUAAAACUAAAUUAAAAAACAAUAUGAUGACAAUUUGUUAUUGCUAAUAUAGUAUAAAUGUAUUCAUGUCUUCCAAAUGUACAGUAUUCUAUAAUGUAAAACUGAGAUUGUUUAUGAUGAUAUUUUCUGUCAGAUUUAAAAAUGUCUUUAUCUUA
This is a long non-coding RNA of Octodon degus (degu), 2962 nucleotides long. RefSeq lists it as uncharacterized. Lineage: Eukaryota; Metazoa; Chordata; Mammalia; Rodentia; Octodontidae. The transcript is spliced from 2 exons. The record is from RefSeq and is a predicted model, not a curated record.